GAUGAACGCUGGCGGCGUGCCUAAUACAUGCAAGUCGAGCGAACAGACGAGGAGCUUGCUCCUCUGACGUUAGCGGCGGACGGGUGAGUAACACGUGGAUAACCUACCUAUAAGACUGGGAUAACUUCGGGAAACCGGAGCUAAUACCGGAUAAUAUAUUGAACCGCAUGGUUCAAUAGUGAAAGACGGUUUUGCUGUCACUUAUAGAUGGAUCCGCGCCGCAUUAGCUAGUUGGUAAGGUAACGGCUUACCAAGGCGACGAUGCGUAGCCGACCUGAGAGGGGUGUCGGCCAAACCGGAAAUUGGGCAACGUUCCGACUCCCAAGGGAGGGAGCCGGAGGGGAUCUUCCGGCAUGGGGGGAAGGCUUAAGGAGGAAAGGCGGGGGGGGGAAGAAGGGUUUCCGAUCGGUAAAACCCGGUAAUUGGGAAGAAACAAAGGUGAAGGUAACUAUGAACGUCUGGACGGACCCAAAUAGGAAGGCCACGCUAACUUCGUG
This 497-nucleotide ribosomal RNA is filed under the name uncultured bacterium. Its description in RNAcentral is "partial 16S ribosomal RNA". It matches the Rfam family "Bacterial small subunit ribosomal RNA", at positions 28 to 507 of the family's 1533-position model. The record is from RNAcentral.